UACGUAGGGUGCAAGCGUUGUCCGGAAUUAUUGGGCGUAAAGAGCUCGUAGGCGGCUUGUCGCGUCGGCUGUGAAAACCUGGGGCUCAACCCCGGGCCUGCAGCCGAUACGGGCAAGCUAGAAUUCGGUAGGGGAGACUGGAAUUCCUGGUGUAGCGGUGAAAUUCGUAGAUAUCGGGAGGAACACCGGUGGCGAAGGCGGCGACCUGGGUCGAGACUGACGCUGAGACGCGAAAGCGUGGGGAGCGAACAGG
This 253-nucleotide ribosomal RNA is filed under the name uncultured bacterium. RNAcentral's name for it is "partial 16S ribosomal RNA". It matches the Rfam family "Bacterial small subunit ribosomal RNA", at positions 524 to 776 of the family's 1533-position model. The record is from RNAcentral.